RNAcentral lists this ribosomal RNA (494 nucleotides) under uncultured bacterium. RNAcentral describes it as "partial 16S ribosomal RNA". It matches the Rfam family "Bacterial small subunit ribosomal RNA", at positions 28 to 507 of the family's 1533-position model. The record is from RNAcentral.
GACGAACGCUGGCGGCGUGCUUAACACAUGCAAGUCGAACGGUAACGCGCCGUCCUUUUUGGCGGGUGUGGAUGAGUGGCGAACGGGUGAGUAACACGUGAGUAACCUGCCCCCUUCUUCUGGAUAACCGCAGGAAAGGGUGGCUAAUACGGGAUAUUUUGGGUUUGUCUCGUGAUGGGUCUGGGUAGGUUAUUGUUUCGGUGGGGGAUGGGCUCGCGGCCGAUCAGCGUGUUGGUGGGGUGGUAGCCUACCAAGGCGGGGACGGGUAGCCGGCCAGAGAGGGAGGACGAGCAGGCUGGGGAGGAGGCACGGCCCCGACUGGAACGGGACGCAGCCGUGAGGCCUACUGGACGAUGGAGUGGAGCAUAAUGCAGCGACGCCGCGUGCGGGAUGCAGCACUGCGGGUUGUGAGACGCAGUCGUUAGUGAAGUAGACCUGUUUCGUUUGUGAGUAUAAUGACGGUAGCUGGAGAAGAAGCGCCGGCUAACUACGUG